RNAcentral lists this long non-coding RNA (267 nucleotides) under Carica papaya (papaya). RNAcentral's name for it is "long non-coding RNA (CPAP_LNC005730)". Lineage: Eukaryota; Viridiplantae; Streptophyta; Magnoliopsida; Brassicales; Caricaceae. The record is from RNAcentral.
GGAAUUCAAUGUGAAGCAAACUGAUGCAGCUCAGAUUUCAAAUAUGGUUUCCCAGUUAUUGGAACAAUCAUAGCUGACUCAUUCCUGGGAUGUUUCUCUGUCGUGUUAAUUUUCUCUGGCAUCUCUUUAAUGGUAAUUCUCUCACUCAUGGUGACAUGUUUAAAUGCCUUCAUGUGCUAGAGAAAAAAAUCAGUAUAGUUCCUAAACCUUCAAAUUUAUUUCUUGUAAUACAGGUAAUCAUUGGAAAGCAGGCUUUUGUUUCUAUAU